UCAUUAUUUUUGCCUAGACACAUCUCUUU
Molecule: non-coding RNA, 29 nt
Filed under: Mus musculus (house mouse)
Lineage: Eukaryota; Metazoa; Chordata; Mammalia; Rodentia; Muridae
Source: RNAcentral